GCCACUUGAGGUAACAGAGUAACUGGUAGCAGUAGUAAACUGAUAUUACUCGAGUGGGAUGAGACACACACUUUGCUAGUGCAUGUCACAGAGCUUUGCUGAUAGCAAAGGAAUAUUGAGACUCAGAAUCGUAGAUUCAGCUCCGAGUUCUAGAGGGGAGUGUGCUCUCCAUUUGAUCCUGUCCAUCCCACAAGUCUGAUCCUUUCUAACCUUAUCUUCCCCAGCCUGUGCCUGUCUUAGCCUCUCCCUGCUUCUCGCUGGCUCCUGGCUCCACAUCACCACAUGAACCACUUUGUACAAGGUGAUGUCUUCGAACGUGGUAAAGGGCCUCUAUCUGCAAGCUGGCAUUAAGAUACCAGCAGCUUUAGAUACCACUGUGAUGGGCAACCUUGAAAUACCAAGAGCGGCAAGCAGCAUACCACAUCUUCAUUUUUAGCUCUUUUCCAUACUCUGCUCUGUUUCCCUGGAGAGGAACGAGGCCCAGAAUUCAAGCCAGUCUUCCUAAGUGAGGGACCCGCUCAAAACUGCUCACUGAUGGACAGUAGGUCUUGCCUGUCACUCUUGCUGUUAUGGCAGGAGGUAUUGCAAUGGUGACCAAGCUAUGUCCAGGUUAUGCCUUUCUUCAGAUACUAAGGACUGCAGGCUUCGAGCUGCGCUGUUUGGAAGAAGCAACGUCGUCGUCUCUCACAGCUACGACGCGGCACUGCUCUCAGCAUAUCCUGCUUUUUCCCCCCAUUUACCUGGGCGGCUUCUGCUGUCUCUGUUGCUGCUGCUGGGGCUGCUGCAGUUUCGCUGCCUGUGCUUCACCCUGGCAUGUCUGAGUCGGGAAUCACUCGUCUGCACGCUGCUAAGGAAGAGCAGCGAUGGAACUCUGGCCACAUUUUUUUUUUCUGUUGGUGCUGGAAGAGAAGGGUUGUGA
Molecule: long non-coding RNA, 919 nt
Filed under: Chrysemys picta bellii (western painted turtle)
Lineage: Eukaryota; Metazoa; Chordata; Testudines; Emydidae
Description: lncRNA (ENSCPBG00000006861.1)
Source: RNAcentral